UAAUACAGAGGGUGCAAGCGUUAAUCGGAAUUACUGGGCGUAAAGGGUGAGUAGGUGGUAAAUUAAGUUAUGUGUGAAAUCUUUGAGCUUAACUUAAAAACUGCACAUAAUACUGAAUUACUAGAGUACUGUAGAGGGUAGUGGAAUUUCCGGUGUAGCGGUAAAAUGCGUAGAUAUCGGGAGGAACACCAGUGGCGAAGGCGGCUACCUGGACAGAUACUGACACUAAUACACGAAAGCGUGGGGAGCAAACAGG
RNAcentral lists this ribosomal RNA (256 nucleotides) under uncultured archaeon. Its description in RNAcentral is "partial 16S ribosomal RNA". It matches the Rfam family "Bacterial small subunit ribosomal RNA", at positions 521 to 776 of the family's 1533-position model. The record is from RNAcentral.